GGGUUGUGAGGUUAAGCGACUAAGCGUACACGGUGGAUGCCCUGGCAGUCAGAGGCGAUGAAGGACGUGCUAAUCUGCGAUAAGCGUCGGUAAGGUGAUAUGAACCGUUAUAACCGGCGAUUUCCGAAUGGGGAAACCCAGUGUGUUUCGACACACUAUCAUUAACUGAAUCCAUAGGUUAAUGAGGCGAACCGGGGGAACUGAAACAUCUAAGUACCCCGAGGAAAAGAAAUCAACCGAGAUUCCCCCAGUAGCGGCGAGCGAACGGGGAGGAGCCCAGAGCCUGAAUCAGUGUGUGUGUUAGUGGAAGCGUCUGGAAAGGCGCGCGAUACAGGGUGACAGCCCCGUACACAAAAAUGCACAUAUUGUGAGCUCGAUGAGUAGAGCGGGACACGUGGUAUCCUGUCUGAAUAUGGGGGGACCAUCCUCCAAGGCUAAAUACUCCUGACUGACCGAUAGUGAACCAGUACCGUGAGGGAAAGGCGAAAAGAACCCCGGCGAGGGGAGUGAAAAAGAACCUGAAACCGUGUACGUACAAGCAGUGGGAGCACGCUUCGGCGUGUGACUGCGUACCUUUUGUAUAAUGGGUCAGCGACUUAUAUUCUGUAGCAAGGUUAACCGAAUAGGGGAGCCGAAGGGAAACCGAGUCUUAACUGGGCGUUAAGUUGCAGGGUAUAGACCCGAAACCCGGUGAUCUAGCCAUGGGCAGGUUGAAGGUUGGGUAACACUAACUGGAGGACCGAACCGACUAAUGUUGAAAAAUUAGCGGAUGACUUGUGGCUGGGGGUGAAAGGCCAAUCAAACCGGGAGAUAGCUGGUUCUCCCCGAAAGCUAUUUAGGUAGCGCCUCGUGAAUUCAUCUCCGGGGGUAGAGCACUGUUUCGGCAAGGGGGUCAUCCCGACUUACCAACCCGAUGCAAACUGCGAAUACCGGAGAAUGUUAUCACGGGAGACACACGGCGGGUGCUAACGUCCGUCGUGAAGAGGGAAACAACCCAGACCGCCAGCUAAGGUCCCAAAGUCAUGGUUAAGUGGGAAACGAUGUGGGAAGGCCCAGACAGCCAGGAUGUUGGCUUAGAAGCAGCCAUCAUUUAAAGAAAGCGUAAUAGCUCACUGGUCGAGUCGGCCUGCGCGGAAGAUGUAACGGGGCUAAACCAUGCACCGAAGCUGCGGCAGCGACACUAUGUGUUGUUGGGUAGGGGAGCGUUCUGUAAGCCUGUGAAGGUGUGCUGUGAGGCAUGCUGGAGGUAUCAGAAGUGCGAAUGCUGACAUAAGUAACGAUAAAGCGGGUGAAAAGCCCGCUCGCCGGAAGACCAAGGGUUCCUGUCCAACGUUAAUCGGGGCAGGGUGAGUCGACCCCUAAGGCGAGGCCGAAAGGCGUAGUCGAUGGGAAACAGGUUAAUAUUCCUGUACUUGGUGUUACUGCGAAGGGGGGACGGAGAAGGCUAUGUUGGCCGGGCGACGGUUGUCCCGGUUUAAGCGUGUAGGCUGGUUUUCCAGGCAAAUCCGGAAAAUCAAGGCUGAGGCGUGAUGACGAGGCACUACGGUGCUGAAGCAACAAAUGCCCUGCUUCCAGGAAAAGCCUCUAAGCAUCAGGUAACAUUAAAUCGUACCCCAAACCGACACAGGUGGUCAGGUAGAGAAUACCAAGGCGCUUGAGAGAACUCGGGUGAAGGAACUAGGCAAAAUGGUGCCGUAACUUCGGGAGAAGGCACGCUGAUAUGUAGGUGAAGUCCCUCGCGGAUGGAGCUGAAAUCAGUCGAAGAUACCAGCUGGCUGCAACUGUUUAUUAAAAACACAGCACUGUGCAAACACGAAAGUGGACGUAUACGGUGUGACGCCUGCCCGGUGCCGGAAGGUUAAUUGAUGGGGUCAGCGCAAGCGAAGCUCUUGAUCGAAGCCCCGGUAAACGGCGGCCGUAACUAUAACGGUCCUAAGGUAGCGAAAUUCCUUGUCGGGUAAGUUCCGACCUGCACGAAUGGCGUAAUGAUGGCCAGGCUGUCUCCACCCGAGACUCAGUGAAAUUGAACUCGCUGUGAAGAUGCAGUGUACCCGCGGCAAGACGGAAAGACCCCGUGAACCUUUACUAUAGCUUGACACUGAACAUUGAGCCUUGAUGUGUAGGAUAGGUGGGAGGCUUUGAAGUGUGGACGCCAGUCUGCAUGGAGCCGACCUUGAAAUACCACCCUUUAAUGUUUGAUGUUCUAACGUUGACCCGUGAUCCGGGUUGCGGACAGUGUCUGGUGGGUAGUUUGACUGGGGCGGUCUCCUCCUAAAGAGUAACGGAGGAGCACGAAGGUUGGCUAAUCCUGGUCGGACAUCAGGAGGUUAGUGCAAUGGCAUAAGCCAGCUUGACUGCGAGCGUGACGGCGCGAGCAGGUGCGAAAGCAGGUCAUAGUGAUCCGGUGGUUCUGAAUGGAAGGGCCAUCGCUCAACGGAUAAAAGGUACUCCGGGGAUAACAGGCUGAUACCGCCCAAGAGUUCAUAUCGACGGCGGUGUUUGGCACCUCGAUGUCGGCUCAUCACAUCCUGGGGCUGAAGUAGGUCCCAAGGGUAUGGCUGUUCGCCAUUUAAAGUGGUACGCGAGCUGGGUUUAGAACGUCGUGAGACAGUUCGGUCCCUAUCUGCCGUGGGCGCUGGAGAACUGAGGGGGGCUGCUCCUAGUACGAGAGGACCGGAGUGGACGCAUCACUGGUGUUCGGGUUGUCAUGCCAAUGGCACUGCCCGGUAGCUAAAUGCGGAAGAGAUAAGUGCUGAAAGCAUCUAAGCACGAAACUUGCCCCGAGAUGAGUUCUCCCUGACCCUUUAAGGGUCCUGAAGGAACGUUGAAGACGACGACGUUGAUAGGCCGGGUGUGUAAGCGCAGCGAUGCGUUGAGCUAACCGGUACUAAUGAACCGUGAGGCUUAACCUUACAACGCCGAAG
RNAcentral lists this ribosomal RNA (2924 nucleotides) under Escherichia coli. RNAcentral describes it as "23S ribosomal RNA". It matches the Rfam family "Bacterial large subunit ribosomal RNA". Lineage: Bacteria; Pseudomonadati; Pseudomonadota; Gammaproteobacteria; Enterobacterales; Enterobacteriaceae. The record is from RNAcentral.